AAAGCGCACGUAGGCGGCUUUGUAAGUAAGAGGUGAAAGCCCAGAGCUCAACUCUGGAAUUGCCUUUUAGACUGCAUCGCUUGAAUCAUGGAGAGGUCAGUGGAAUUCCGAGUGUAGAGGUGAAAUUCGUAGAUAUUCGGAAGAACACCAGUGGCGAAGGCGGCUGACUGGACAUGUAUUGACGCUGAGGUGCGAAAGCGUGGGGAGCAAACAGGAUUAGAUACCCUAGU
This 230-nucleotide ribosomal RNA is filed under the name uncultured bacterium. RNAcentral's name for it is "partial 16S ribosomal RNA". It matches the Rfam family "Bacterial small subunit ribosomal RNA", at positions 562 to 791 of the family's 1533-position model. The record is from RNAcentral.